Molecule: long non-coding RNA, 7860 nt
Filed under: Triticum aestivum (bread wheat)
Lineage: Eukaryota; Viridiplantae; Streptophyta; Magnoliopsida; Poales; Poaceae
Description: long non-coding RNA (TAES_LNC024063)
Source: RNAcentral
ACAGGUCUUUUCCCAGGAUCGUACCUGACUCUUCUAAUUUAUCCGAAGCGAUUCUCAAAUUCUUUCAAAGUUCGACAUAAGAAUGAUUUCUCAUUGGUCAAAUGUGUCCUCCAAGUUCGCUUUCAUAUUCUUUUCAUCGUUGGUUCAACCUUUCUAUUCUUCAUUCCGGAAUGCCUCAACAAUUCAUGGUGGUGUUUCUCAUCAUCUUUCUCAACAUUUGAAGACCGAAGAAGAGUUUCUCUUCAAUCUUAUCCGUUCUCUCAAAGAUGCGCGGUUCUAACUUGUUGCCAUCCUCUCAUAAUGGUUUCUAUCGUGAGAAAUUCUUUUCACCCAUCCGGAGUAAUUCAAGAGUCUCUUCAGAUUGAUUCUCCGUAGCCCAUCAUCUCAGAAUUAUUAAUUCUCAGCUUUCAGCUCUCGUUCUCGAAUUCUUCCGGUGCAUCGUUCAAGUAUCCUCAUGAUCUCUUCGUUCUCAGGUAUCUAAAUCCCCUCAAGUAUCUUCAUUCGUUUUCCAAUUCUUCCCGGUGAAUUGUGCCCUUGCUACUUUCAUUUUCAAUUCAUAUGGCGGUUUGUUCAAGAUUCCUCUUCCUAUGUUCUCAUAUUAAUUUAUUCGUUGUUUCAAUCCUGUCGGUGGUUCGUUGAAGACCUUCUCAAGUUUACGCUAUAUCUCUCUUAAUCCUUUCUACGAGAAUAAGAAGUAUGCAAAAUCCGUUGCUUGUCAUAAAUUUAAAUUGGUGAAGGAUACGCUUAAGAUAAUUCUUAUUCUUGUUUCAUCCAAGUGUUUAAUUAUUUCUACCGGAGUUUGUCCGUGAUAUCAAUUUCUCAGUUAUAUGUUGUUCAUCUUUCUUUCCGGAGUUCCAAGUUUUCUCGGUUAUAUCGUCCCGAAGCUUCAUCUAAAUCAUUGCAAGGCUUCACCUUGUGUUGUCAACUUCUCUUUCUUUCUAUCAUCCUUUUAUUACCGGAGUUCUUCAUGGAGGCUCUAAAUGGUGGUUCGUCAAGGAUUCUUUUCAUUCUUCAAUUAUUCUUCAAGAAUUCUCUCGAAGUUAUGAUCCGCCAAGCUAUAUUCAAAAUUAAACAGGGUGCUCAACGCAUGUCUUGUUUUCAGGAGUUCAAGCAUUCUUCAUCUUGCAUUCUGAAGUGCAAUUCUUUCUAUCUUAUCUUUUGAGGUGGUGUUAUGUCAUUUUGACAGUUUCCUUCAUGUUUCAUGAUUGACAAGUUGUCAGAAAUGAGAUAUUUAAACCCAUCAUUUUCUUCCUUGGAGUUAUCUUGGGUUAUAUUUUACCUAAAGCCUUCCCUAAGGAAUGUUGCUAUUGUGGUGCUUAUCGAUUGUCGAAGUUAUCUCUUGAUCAUCUUGAUGGAAGAAGUUUUUCAUCUCGUUGGUGCUAUCAUUUAUAUUAUUUGUUUCCGUAGUGGCAGAUAUUUGCCUCAAUUGUGAGAAGUUUUCCAUAAGCCCACUACAAGCUUAUCCGUUUCGUUGUUGGUUUCUCCAACAACCCCGUUAUAAUCCUUCUUGGAAGGGUGCUUUCCAAGCUCAUUUGUGGCAGAAGUUGUCAUUUUCUUCUCCGUCCCUUUAUCCGAACAAUCUAGCUUCUAUUCUUUCCUUCUGGAGGCACUGUGAUGUUGCUCUCUUCACUCAUCAUCUCGAAUUGAGGAUCGUGUUCUUUUCGUGCUUAUCGAUUUAACCGAACUGCCGUGUCCUCUUUUCAAGUUCUUCCCAUUUUGUCAAGUUUUGCUUCCUUUUUCUACCGGAGUGCUACCUGCAUUCUUUCGUUCUCACUCUUUGCUUAUUCCGUUUCAACCGGAGUGGUUACAUGUCCUUCCUUGUCGCUGGAACUCUUCAUUCAUGUCUUUGCAACCCCAAGGUUUUCGCAAUGUUCAUUGUUCCUCUUGUCCAACGGACUGUUUGCAAUCUCAUUCAUCUCCAUUGUAUUCUUUCUUUCAAUUUGUUCAACCUCUCAAGGUUCAUGGUUUCACUCGUUUGUCAAGAAGCAACUUAGUUUUACCUCUUCUUCCGUUUCUCUCCGGUGCCAUCUCUAGAUCUCGGGGCGAGAUCUCUUGUAAGUAGAGGAGAGUUGUAACGACCUGGGACCGACGCUCCAGACGCCUUCCAUGUUCUUCGUUGUCGUCGUGUGUUUUAUUUUAUUUGUUUGUUGCAUUCAUCAUCGCAUCAUGCGCAUUGCAUUUGCAUGUUUUCAUAUAGCUGGCAUCCGUUCGUAGUUGCUGUGUCCCCUGCCUUCGUUGACCGUUCUGAGUCCCAUCGGGUUUUUGCUUCCCUCUUGACCGUGACCGCCAAAGCCCCUUUGCGUGCGUGUCCGAAACUGCCACGAACCUGAACCGAGCUGUCAUCACUGAUGGGUCCGGAUCAUCCCCAAACAUCUCCAAAAUAUCUUCGUUUCUGCACUGGACUCCCCUAACCUUUUAUUCUUGACUGUCCGAUCGCGAUCCGAUGAUCAAAUUUGCUCCAACCCGCUCUAGUCCAUAUGCUAUUUAUAGCAGAUGACCCCCUAACCAAAUUUGCCCCAACCCUAAUUUCUAGGAGAUUUGUCCCUGCCGCCGCCGCACUCGUCUCCCACCUCGGGAUCCAUCCCCAUCAAAUCCUUCCCGAGCCCCGAUCCAAUCCUCCAACUAAGCCGUCUCCUCCUCGAUUUGGGCAGCGAGCCAAUCAGCAUUCCCCGAUCCAGGGCGCCCACCUUCUCCCGCAGCCACCACCCAAGCUCGCCCGAGCUCCUCAUUUCCCUGAGCGCACCUCGUGUCGACCUCCAGCCAGCCGGGCCACUGGAGCUCCAUGCCGCCGUCUGACUGCAUCCCGCCACCAGGUCACGACGCCGGCCUCCUCUCUCCCCUUCCUUCUUUUUCUCUCCUCCUCACCUCUCCAUCUCUGUUCCAGGAACAAACAGGGAGCCCACCAUGGUCACGAUCCUGGAGCUCGUCGCUGCCGCCCUUUGCAGAACCUCGUCGCCAGGAGCUCUGAAACGCCGGCCGCUGCUAGGUCCGACCGGGCCCGAGGUCCUUCUUCCAUUCGCCGGCGUUCCCCUUCGGACCCCGUCGCCAUAGCCCCAUCCCCGCUACUCCUCGCCGUCGUCUUCUUCCUGUGCGCCUCCAACGCCAGGUCCGGCCUCUACUUUGAGCAGAGGAGGAGGACGCCCGCGUCUCGCCAUCCGAGCACCGCUACCUGCCCUCGUCCCGUCACCGGCAAGCUCACCGCCCCCGGAUCAACGUCUCACGCCUGCCCGUGCUCGUGCACGCUCGCCUCCACGGGCCGUCUGCAAGCAGCAACGUCAUCGCGAACAAGGUGAGGCACGCAGCUGCCUCGCGCGCCACUCCCAUUCCUAUCUUUUCUUCUCUCAUCUCGCCAUCUCUCUCUAUGUUGCCUCAGACUGAAGCCGAUCGAGAGCCGCCAUGGCUGCGUCCCCUUCAAGGUGUUGCCUUGUCGUCUUCGGCCCUGCGCAUGAAUGCCUCGCUGCCUUCUAUGUUCGCGUUGACCCCGCAUCGAUCGAGCAGCCACGGCCACAGAGUAAGCUAUCUCUGUUUCAGUUUUCAGUUUCGUCAGAUCAGCGCCAGGGUAUUGUUCAUCUUGCGUAUAAAGGCAUUAUUUAUCAAAUUUCCGUCGUGGCCCACUGGUCACUUGUGCAUACAUCCACCCAGGAGGUCCUUCUUCUUGGCAUGCAUAAUUUCAGUAAAUGUCAUCAUUUCAAAAUGCUAAUAACUCAAUAACCGUGCAUCAGUUUAAAAUGAUCUAUUAUAUGUAAAAUGCUUAGAAUUUCAUCUAGUUUCAUAAUAUGCUGCUUUGGUUCAUGUUUAAAAUGUUUAAGAUGGUGUUUACAUUUAAUUUGCAUAAAUGCCAUGCUAAAUGCUUUAUUUCAUAACUAAAUAACCGUAGCUCCAUUUUAAAUAAACUUUAUAUGAAAAUGGGGUAGAAAAAUGCAUAGAUUAACAUGGUGCACUUUAUUUCCCUGUUUAACAACAUUAAAAUGGUGUUUUAGGCAGAACAGUAGCAAACUUGAAAUAUGGACAUGAGGAUUUUCCGGAAUUGUAGUUUGUUGUUCCGGCCUCAUUUAAACUUGCCUAGAUAAGUAGUUUUCAUAUGCUUCACCCCUUGCCAUGUUUAAUAAAAUUUUAUAUUGUUGGGUACAUAAACGAGAGAGAACUAAAUAAUUGAUGUGGUGUUUCAUCAAUAUGCAACUCGUUGCAUAUUGAGCUCCACUUAACUUGUAUUAUUGUUUGUGCACUUUGCCAUGCCAUGCCUCAUGAAACCGGACAUGCAUCAUGCUUGAUUGUGCAUCAUGCCAUGUUUAUGUGAUGGUUGUUUACCAUGAUGUUUGCUUCUUUCCAGUUGCGCUUCUCCUUGAUAGUUCUAGUUACGUUGUGAUUGUGAGGAUAUGUUCGACUACGUCUGUUUGUCUUCUUCAUGGACUCGUUCUUCUUCCUUGCGGGAUUUCAGGCAAGAUGACCAUUACUCUCGAUAUCACUUCUAUCUUUGCUUGCUAGUUGUUCGCUCUAUCGUUAUGCUACCUACCACUUGUUUAUCAUGCCUCCCAUAUUGCCAUGUCAAGCCUCUAACCCACCUUCCUAGCACACCGUUGUUUGGCUAUGUUACCGCUUUUGCCCAGCCCCUCUUAUAGCGUUGUUAGUUGUAGGUGAAGUUGAAGAUUGCUCCAUGUUGGAACAUGAUUAUGUUGGGAUAUCACUAUAUCUCUUAUUUAACUAAUGCAUCUAUAUACUUGGUAAAGGGUGCAAGGCUCGCCCUUAUGCCUGGUGUUUUGUUCCACUCUUGCCGCCCUAGUUUCCGUCAUACCGGUGUUAUGUUCCUUGAUUUUGCGUUCCUCACGCGGUUGGGGUUAUGGGACCCCCUUGACAGUUCGCUUUGAAUAAAACUCCUCCAGCAAGGCCCAACAUUGGUUUUCCAUUUGCCUACCACCUAUUCUUUUCCCUUGGGAGCUGCAGCCCCGAGGGUCAUCUUUAUUUUAACCCCCCCCCCCCCCGGCCAGUGCUCCUCUGAGUGUUUGUCCAAACUAGAGCACCGUGCGGGGCCACCCCUUGGCAACUUGGGGUAUCUGGUAUAUACCUGUACACUUCGCUCAUCCAGUGUACCCUGAGAACGAGACCGCGCACCUCCUAUCAGGCUAGGUCGGUGCAUCGGGAGGUCUUGCGGACUUGUUUUACCAUUGCCGAAAUGUCUUGUAACCGGGAUUCUUAGUCUGAUCGGGUUGUUCCGAGAGAAGGAAUAUCCUUCGUUGAUCGUGAGAGCUUGUGAUGGGCUAAGUUGGGACACCCCUGCAGGGUAUAAACUUUCGAGAGCCGUGCCCGCGGUUAUGUGGUAGAUGGGAAUUUGUUAAUAUCCAGUUGUAGAGAAAUUGACACUUGACUUAAUUAAAAUGAACCAACCGCGUGUGUAGCCGUGAUGGUCUCUUUUCGGCGGAGUCCGGGAAGUGAACACGGUUUGGGUUAUGUAUGAACGUAAGUAGUUUCAGGAUCACUUCUAGCUUCACGACCGUUGCGUAGUUUCUCAUCUUACUCUUGUACCCGUAUGUUAGCCACCAUAUCUGCUUAGCGCUUGCUGCAACUCCACCUCAUCACCUUACCCUACCCAUAAACUUAAAUAGUCUUGAUCUCGAGGGUUUUGAGAUUGCUGAGUCCUCGUGACUCGCAGAUACUACCAAAACAAGUGCAGGUGCCGAUGAUACCAGUGCAGGUGAUGCUACCGAACUCAAGUGUGAGUUCGACGAGGACCUUGGUCGUUACUAUGUUUCGUUUCCUGAUGAUCAGUAGUGGAGCCCAGUUGGGACGAUCGGGGAUCUAGCAGUUGGAUUUAUCUUCUUUUUAUUUGGAUUUGUCCGUAGUCGGACUAUGUGCGUACUCUGAAUGAUGUAUGUUUAACUUGAUCAUUGUGUGAAGUGGCGAUUGUAAGCCAACUAUUUCUUCUAUCCUUGUUCUUGUACAUGGGAUUGUGUGAAGAUGACCCUUCUUACGACAAAACCAAAAUGCGGUUAUGCCUCUAAGUCGUGCCUCGACACGUGGGAGAUAUAGCCGCAUCUUGGGAGUUACAAGUUGGUAAUCAGAGCCAUCCCCGACUUAGGAGCCCCUUGCUUGAUCGAAUCGCUGACGUUGUUGAGUCUAGAACAAAAAUGUUUUGAGUCUUAGGAUUAUAUAUAUCGGAGAGUAGGAUUCUUUUACUCCUCAGCCCCUUCGUCACUCUGGUGAGGCCUCAUGACGUAGAUGUUUUGACUUUUCUCUCCUCAAAUUUCACAAAAAAAUUAGGAUCACGCGGGUAUCUUGGGAUCGUUCCGAUAUUCUUGUGACGAGAACAUUGUUCUUGGUGCCUCCUGACAUUUAGGGGUUGUGGCAGUGUCCCGGGGAGUUGAGCUCCGAGGUGUUGUCGUCACAAUUUUAUUGUUGCAGUUCUGGAAUACCUAAGUUUCGCCGACAUCGAAAAUCUCUUUUAUGCAGUUGUUGGUGAGAUAACCUCGACGCCACCCAGUAUUGGGGCGGGAGUUCGGGAGUAUUGCCAUAGCUCGAAUAACGGAUGCUUUUCGAAGGUUGAGGUACACGAUUUCCGGAGUUUUCUUGGUUAUGUGUUGAUGGAUGGAUACAGCUAGAUGUAGGGAUUGUUAGUUUGGGUGAGAUACUGUGCUUCCCCUGUAUCUCCAACACCAGAUUGCAUAACCAGAAAGUUUCGGAAGUUUAUAGGUGGGAAUUCAAGUAGCUCCUAGAAUAUCUUUCCGACAAAUGCAUGAUAUGGGAUUGGGUAAAUCUCUAUGAUAUGUUUGUUUCUGGCUAAUUUUCCAAGCCAAAUCCUUUGUUUGGUUUUGAGUAGUGGUAUUUGAGUUGAUUCGAUGUCAAGUGUUGAUCCAUACCUUCCCUAAGCGGUGUUCUCAUAUUUUUAUGUGAAUACUAAUCCUUCUUGAUCAUUGAGGUUGUCAUGUCAAUUCUUUUCCAACCGGCGUGUUUCUCUUCAAGUGCAUCCGAUCAUUCCAACAUUCGGAAGAUCAAUUCUAAGUUUUUUCUCAACGGUAUCCAUUCCAUCUGUCCCAAGUUGCCUUUGUUUUCCCGCCCUCCCACCCUUUUUCUUCAAGAACUCAGAUUUCUUAAUCAAGUAUCCUUUUAUUGAUGGGAAGUCUCUCCAUUCUUUUCCGUCAAUGUUCUUAUCCGGUGAUUCUCUGAAGAUACUAAGGAAGCUUCAAGUUCAUCAUUCUUCGUUCUCUUUUCUUCUCCGGUGGAUUCAAUUCAAGCUUUCAGUGUUGAUCAUAUUCAUUCACUCGUGUCAAAUGCUUUCUCAUGUCGGUGCAUCUCUUUAUCAUCCACCUCUUGCUAUUCAUGUUAUCUGGAGUGCUGAAGAUAUCCCAGAAGAUUCAAGUUUCCAGUCUUAUUCCUGCCAAUCUAUUUCGAGGUUGUUACCUCAUUCAAGACGUUCAAAUCAACCGGUGCAUUAUCUCUUCCUAAGCAAUCACUCGACGGUGUUUUCUUUUUAGUGGGCCCUAACCCACAGGUCUUUUCCCAGGAUCUUACCUGACUCUUCUAAUUUAUCCGGAGCGAUUCUCAAAUUCUUUCAAAGUUCGACAUAAGAAUGAUUUCUCAUUAGUCAAAUGUGUCCUCCAAGUUCGCUUUCAUAUUCUUUUCAUUGUUGGUUCAACCUUUCCAUUCUUCAUUCCGGUGUGCCUCAACAAUUCAUGGUGGUGUUUCUCAUCUCUUUCUCAACAUUUGAAGACCGAAGAAGAGUUUCUCUUCAAUCUUAUCCGUUCUCUCAAAGAUGUGUGGUUCUAACUUGUUGCCAUCCUCUCAUAAUGGUUUCUAUCGUGAGAAAUUCUUUUCACCCAUCCGGAGUAAUUCAAGAGUCUCUUCAGAUUGAUUCUCCGUAGCCCAUCA